RNAcentral lists this ribosomal RNA (495 nucleotides) under uncultured bacterium. RNAcentral's name for it is "partial 16S ribosomal RNA". It matches the Rfam family "Bacterial small subunit ribosomal RNA", at positions 28 to 523 of the family's 1533-position model. The record is from RNAcentral.
GAUGAACGCUGGCGGCGUGCUUAACACAUGCAAGUCGAGCGAAGCGAUUUUAAGGAAGCCUUCGGGUGGAAUUAAAAUUGACUUAGCGGCGGACGGGUGAGUAACGCGUGGGUAACCUGCCUCAUACAGGGGGAUAACAGUUAGAAAUGACUGCUAAUACCGCAUAAGCGCACAGUGCUGCAUAGCACAGUGUGAAAAACUCCGGUGGUAUGAGAUGGACCCGCGUCUGAUUAGGUAGUUGGUGAGGUAACGGCCCACCAAGCCGACGAUCAGUAGCCGACCUGAGAGGGUGACCGGCCACAUUGGGACUGAGACACGGCCCAAACUCCUACGGGAGGCAGCAGUGGGGAAUAUUGGACAAUGGGGGAAACCCUGAUCCAGCGACGCCGCGUGACUGAAGAAGUAUUUCGGUAUGUAAAGGUCUAUCAGCAGGGAAGAAAAUGACGGUACCUGACUAAGAAGCCCCGGCUACCUACGCGCCAGCAGCCGCCGUAA